This is a long non-coding RNA of Dama dama (fallow deer), 5790 nucleotides long. RefSeq lists it as uncharacterized. Lineage: Eukaryota; Metazoa; Chordata; Mammalia; Artiodactyla; Cervidae. The transcript has 5 exons. The record is from RefSeq and is a predicted model, not a curated record.
AGUCCCUCCAUCCUCCUGAGUUACCAGGCGGAAGAAGCAGAGUGGCAGAGCCGCGGGGCUUGAUUCCGGGAGGCUGGGUGCUUCACUGCUGCAAGUGCAUCUUGGCUCGGAAGCUGUGUGGGGAAAAUUCCUGUUGACCUUUGAAGAGCCACUGUGGCAAAAAGUAAAAAACCUUGGCCGAUUCUCAAGCAGCUGUCGUUCAGACCUGGAGCACUGACAGUACCCGAAGCAGGCUGGUCUGAGCCGAGGAGGAAGUCUGCUUGCCUGCAGCUUGUCCUGGGGGUCCCGGCUCCUCUGCCGGCAGACCCUCUGACUUAGGCUGAGAGUCUCCGGCUAAGCUACAUCCGCGACCUUAUAAAACCAGAUCCUCGUAAUCCAACUACAGGACAGACCAUGAGAACUGCUGUGAUAUCGAAGACGCUGUACCAGCCCAGCUGAGUGUAAAGCGGGGAAAGACCAAUUCUGAGUGAUAGACGUCCCCUAGGAGGUGGCAUCGAGCCAGGCCUGCCCGUUACUAGCACAUUCACUAUUUGACAUAAAGUAUCAGCUCUUUCACAAUUAUUCGUACAAGUAUUUUAGUUACGAGUACAUUUGUCCUGCCGUAAGCUUAGCUUGGAAGCUCUCCCACUGCUUUCUAUAGUCCCAGCCCUCACAUGUUAAAUCUGUUAGAGAAUAAGUGAAUGCGUACAAUCAGGUACCCAGGUCCGGUGACCCCGAGGGGUUUAGACGGAGACGCGAUGAGGGGGAGACUGGAGGGAGGUGGUCUCUGCUUCUUCCUUCUCCACUCGGCCCGAAGGUAGCCUCUCUGGGCCUUUCUCCAGCGAACCUGUCUCACCCGUAGAGACGCCGAGGGAACUCAAUGAUGUCGUGGGGACUUGAGUGCACAGUCAGGAGAGGAGGGAACUUCGUUAAUUACGCACGUACUGGAAGGAGGCUGCUCUCAGGCCCUACUCUCCAUAGACAUAACCUACUGCUAUUGUUUCAAGUACACUCCCCCUAAUAACGUUUUUGCGUAUCUAUUUACAGCGUGUCGGAACUUCGUAGCUGUGUGGGCUCCUCUCUAGCUGCAGUGCUCAGAUUCCCGUCGUGGCCACUUCCCUUGCUGCCGAGCGCGGGCUCAGGGGCAGGCUCAAGGCUUGAGGGGCCCGCGCCGAGCUGCCCCCCAGCACUUGGGAUCUUCCCGGACCAGGGAUCAAACCUGCGUCCCCUGCGUUGGCAGGCAGAUUCUUAACCCCUGGGCCAGGGGAAGUCCCAGAGAAGUCCCCUGUUAUUAACUUUUUUAAUGUUCUAGUUUUUUGUUUGUUUCAGGUAGAAGUACUGUCAGGAUAGGUACGUUAGGAAAUGGCAUCUGUUAGGUGGGUUAAUGGAGAAAGCUCCGAUAGGGCAAAAAUCUAUCAAGAACAACUGACUUUGGUUUUUUCUUCUCCCAUCAAAGUCCAGUGUCUGCCCGAGGGCAGUGAGUGGCCCAGGAUUACUGCUGGAACCAGACUGAAUGACUCAGAAGUUCCUUCCCCAUCCGAUGAUGCCUGUGAGAAAGCCAAGAUUCUCUGCAGGUGAUCUGAUCUUAGGGCUGAAACAGAGCGUCACUGGCUCUGUGUAUUUAUUAUGUUUUAAUAACAAGGAAAAGGAUCCCCAGCACUGAGCUGAGUCACAAGAAGGAGUGUCUGGUACACCUGGUGUCCAGAAGAAACUACACCUGGGCUGGUCCCAGCACACAAACACCACCACCACUUCUCAUAAUUCCAGGAUCAGAAAGGAAAAUCUUCUCUUUCAGUAGAAAGGGGCUUCCCUGGUGGCUCAGUGGUAAAGAAUCCACUUGCCAAUGCAGGAGACGAGGGUUUGAUCCCUGGGUCAGAAAGACCCCCUGGAGGAGGGCAUGGCAACCCACUCCAGUCUUCUUGCCUGGAGAAUCCCAUGGACAGAGGAGCCUGGCGAGCUACAGCCCAUGGGGUCGCAAAGAGUUGGGCAUGACUGAGUGACUGAACACCCUUGCAGAGGGGCCUUUCAAGGUCCGUAACAAACCCCUGUCUGGGUGCCAGGCCCUGGAGUCUUCACUGGGACUCCUCUCUGGCCCUUUAGCUCAGGUUUACGUGAAGAGACUGCGGGGCAGAGUGUGGAUUUAGGGUGCCUGACUCCACACCCUGGGCCCCCCUCAUGUUCUUCUGCUCCUCUGGGUGUCAGAGAUCGGGACAGGGGUGGAUGGGCCCCGGGGGCAGAAGGCCCUCGGCAAGAGGGGAGCAGCAGCCAGCGGGGAGAUCUCAAAGAAAGACAAAGAAAGAUGCUCCCAGCAGAUGUCAGUGCUCCUGGACACACAGACGCUCUUCUUAGCUCCCAUUUCAAAACAAACUUGGAGCUUUUUCAAUAGGAAACUGGAAAUCCCAAGUCACCAGUGAUGGAGGGGUGGGGGGGCUGUCUCGAGAGCCUCCGUGCCCUCUGCCCCCGGAAGCCUGACGGCCUGACUCAGACUCCAGCCUCCAUCCCGGCCUCGUCCCAGCCACCCGGCUCCUCGGCCCCCGCUGGCAUCAUGCGGGCUCUUGCUGCAAGGUUGCUGAAACCCAGUGUCACCUGGCUAAGACGGAAGGUGGCGGUUUCCUGGCAGCUGGGAGAGACGGCAGGGGUGCGGCUGGCUCCGGAAACCCCUGCACCGCAGCCCGAACAUGCCCAGCCGCUGUCCUCGGGGCCAGCUGCCUCCUCUCCCGGCUCUCCACAGUCACACGGGGCGACUCGCCCAGAGGAGCCGAAACUGGAGGGGGCGCCCAGCAGGCCACUGCAUGCAGUCUGCCCCUAGGCGGGGCCGGGUGGGGCCUGGAGGAAGCCCCCAGGAACCCCUCGGUCACACGCUGAGCAUGCGGGGCAGGAUGUUCCCACGGAAGGGGGUGGUCGGGUUGAGCACACCGAAUUCUAGGCGUCCACCUGGCGUCACGACACCAAGGUGUCCCAGAGCCACUCGGGACGCCGUUUCUUAGCACGGGUCAGGCACAGACGUCCCGGGAGACCCUGGGAUGGCAGGAGUCCUGGGAGCAGCCCCAAGACAUGCUGGUCGCCGGGCUGGGCUCUGCUUCCUGGCUUCUCACAGGCCCUGAGGACCGCGUGCUGGCCGGAGGCCCGCCCGAGCGGCCCUGCCUCAGAGACCAAGCCGUGUCUGCGGCUUCCUGCGAGAUCUGAUGUCCACCCUGGAGAGGAGACCACGGAGAGGAGCUGGCCUCGGAUCUUCCACGAUUUCAACACACAGCUUCCUACCCCAGGAGCAGGGAGGCAGGGGCAGGCAGGCCAGAGAGUUUCCGCUUCAGCACCAAGAGGGCUUAUCGUUGUUGUUGAGUCGCUCAGUCGUGUCCGACUCCUGUUUGACCCCAUGGACUGUAGCCCGCCAGGCUCCUCUGUCCCUGGGAUUCUCCAGGCAAGAAGACUGGAGUGGGUUGCCAUUUCCUUCUCCAGGGGAUCUUCCCAGCCCAGGGAUCGAACCUGGGUAUCCUGCAUUGCAGGCGGAUUCUUUACCACUGAGCCAGCCCCCUGGGACGCCCACCAAGCGGGCGGAUGACAACAAACAGCAGAAAUCCAUCCAUCCUGUGUUCUCAGGGCGGUUCUCCCACGUGGAGAAAAGAGGGUGUCCCCAGCUCAGCCAGGGAACCACACCCCGAACCAGGGAAGGUUCGCACCUGCCCGUCGAGGACCAGUCUCCUCCUCAAUGCCACCAUCUUCUCCAGCCAGAAAACCAGCUAAACAAAUGCUCGCUGAAGACCUCCCAGGAGCCAGGCAUUGUGGGGUUACCACGUCAUCACCACGGCUACCCUCAGAAGACUUUUCAUCUGAAACCAAGAGGCCAGAACCUGGGCAGGACCAGCUGCUGGGCGUGAUGUCAGCAGAGGGAGGCACGGUUUGUUCUAACUGGAGACAGGGAACGGUUGAGCGUUAGAAGGCCCCGUGUUAUGUAACUUCCAGCUGGGUAAUGAACCAGGCCAGCUGGGACCCUGCCGUUGCUCAAGCAGAGGCCGCCCGGACCCCAGCGCAACCCCUGGGGGGAAACCCAGCACCUUCCUCCAGAGCACGUGAAUGCGGGCUUCUGAUGCCCACGGUUAGGUGUGAGGUUUUCCAUGCCCUCAGCCCCAGAGGAGGCUUCUUGUUUUCACAAUACUCGCUUCCCUGGAGCGUAAGAGCGGGGAAGGGGUGGGCAGGCAGGAAUUUGCGGGCUGCAGGCUGGAGGCCAUGCAUCUUGCUCCUUGGUCAGGAGCCAAGUCAUUAAAACUCCUGGUUCUCAAUGGAAGUCAAAAGUUCAUCAAAAUUGGCCAGGAGCACAGAAAUCGAGUUGCUAGAAAAAUCUGUCUUCCUCGGGCCUGGCUGGCCCAGUGGAACAUCAUGAGAACCAGCAAGACACCCUUUCCAAUUCCGACUGUCAGUCAACCCUCCCAUGGGCAGGUCUGGCCAGCACAACACACAUGAGUCCAUGUCCCGGUGGAUGAUUUCAACGAGCCCCACAGGGGAAAACCAGCAGCUGUGGUGGGAAGGGGCGAGAGAGGCAGGCAGGCUGGCCCAGGCAGCGCGGGGACUUGGGGCAGGCUGGUCGGCCUCCCAAGUCACUGAACGUGGUCAGAGCCAGCAGGAAGAGACACAGGAGUGCGCAGGAGGGAGGUAGCGGGGUGGGGGGAGACACCCUGCGUCCGGAAGAGCCUGCUGGCCACCGGAAACUGCUUUCUGGAUUCUCGAAGUGUGGUCUGCAGGGGCCAGCAGAGAAAGCAUCACCUGGGGACCUGCUAGAGAUGGACCCCACCACAGCUGGACUGGACUGGAAUUCUGGUUUCCAGUGGGCUCACGAGUCUGAGAACCAUUGGCCAGGCGGCUGAGCACUCAGGCUGCCUGGGUUCCAAGCCCUCUCUGUGGCCCCGGGACAGUCACUCAGCCUCCCUGAGUCCCAAGUUCUGCUCUGGAUUAAAAACAGAUGCGGCUCAGAUGGUCAUUUGAGAAACAGACGAUAAAGCACUUUCAACAACGCCGAACACACAGACGGCAGCAAGCCCAUUUACGAUUGUUGUUCAGUCGCUCGGUUGUGUCUGACUCUUUGCAACCCCAUGGACUGCAGCACGCCAGGCUGCCCUGUCCCCCACCACCUCCCAGAGCUUGCUCAAACCCGUGUCCAUCGAGUCGAUGAUGCCAUCCAACCAUCUCAUCCUCUGUCGUCCCCUUUUCCUCCUGCCCUCAAUUUUUCCCAGCAUCAGGGUCUUUUCCAAUGAGUCAGCUCUUCCCAUCAGGUGGCCGAAGUAUUGGAGCUUCAGCUUCAGCAUCAGUCCUUCCAAUGAACAUUCAGGACUGAUUUCCUUUAGGAUGGACUGGCUGGAUCUCCUUGCAGUCCAAGGGACUCUCAAGAGUCUUCUCCAACACCACAGUUCAAAAGCAUCAAUUCUUCGGUGCUCAGUCUUCUUUAUGGUCCAACUCUCACAUCCGUACAUGACCCCUGGAAAAACCACAGCUUUGACUAGACGGACCUUCACAAUGAUUGACUAGCCAAAAUUGUGUCAAGCGUCCCUGGAAGACCGUGACUGUCCCUGUCCCCAGACUGGCCUCCUUAAGGAAGUGACGUCCGAGCUGAGACCAGAAGAAUCAGAAACGCCCGCAGCUCACCCUCAUGACCUGCAGCUGUCGUGCAUGGUUCUCAGCAGGUCUUCCCCGCCGCCAUUAGGUGACAGUGUGACCCCCAUCCCACGGAUGAAGUGAGUGAAAACAAAGAUGAUGACCUUGACCAAGGUCACCCAGGGGAGAAGCGGUGUAGACAGAUCUGGGUCCUGGCUCUUCACCACU